Molecule: ribosomal RNA, 549 nt
Filed under: Salmonella enterica
Lineage: Bacteria; Pseudomonadati; Pseudomonadota; Gammaproteobacteria; Enterobacterales; Enterobacteriaceae
Also listed under: 3 other names
Description: bacterial LSU rRNA
Rfam family: Bacterial large subunit ribosomal RNA
Source: RNAcentral
GGGUUGUGAGGUUAAGCGACUAAGCGUACACGGUGGAUGCCCUGGCAGUCAGAGGCGAUGAAGGGCGUGCUAAUCUGCGAUAAGCGCCGGUAAGGUGAUAUGAACCGUUAUAACCGGCGAUACCCGAAUGGGGAAACCCAGUGUGUUUCGACACACUAUCAUUAACUGAAUCCAUAGGUUAAUGAGGCGAACCGGGGGAACUGAAACAUCUAAGUACCCCGAGGAAAAGAAAUCAACCGAGAUUCCCCCAGUAGCGGCGAGCGAACGGGGAGGAGCCCAGAGCCUGAAUCAGCAUGUGUGUUAGUGGAAGCGUCUGGAAAGGCGCGCGAUACAGGGUGACAGCCCCGUACACAAAAGCGCAUGUGCUGUGAGCUCGAUGAGUAGGGCGGGACACGUGGUAUCCUGUCUGAAUAUGGGGGGACCAUCCUCCAAGGCUAAAUACUCCUGACUGACCGAUAGUGAACCAGUACCGUGAGGGAAAGGCGAAAAGAACCCCGGCGAGGGGAGUGAAAAAGAACCUGAAACCGUGUACGUACAAGCAGUGGGAGC